UUGACAGCAGUGACAUUGAAACAACAUCGUUACAUACUUGAGAGGAAAGAUGAUUGAUAAAUCAUGGAUUUAGAGUAGAGUGGGAGGCCGUCUCGUGAUAGACCAGCGCACUUGCACCCUGACGGAAAAGACAAAAUAAUAUCAACAACCACAAUGAUAAUACUGCAUUGAAGCAGUCAUACAUACAGUAUUAGUACUAAUAGUAGUAAUGAAAUGAUCAGAAUCAUUGUAAAAACUAUAAUCAUGUUGCCGACAUCACCGUCACUGUAAUAAAACCAACAUAAUAACACCCUGGCUAACUCAGUGAGUCAUGUGGGGAAGUACGUAUGUACUGUGGGUGUGUAUAUGUACGUGUGUACAGGUAUCUCUGUAUGUGUACAAGUCUUCCUGUGUAUAAAGGUGCAAGAAUGUGUGUGUGUGUAGUUGUCACUGAGAAUGCAUGAAAGGAGAGGGACUGUCUCCCACCACCCAGCAAGCUGCGCCCCACACAGCCAGGCCGAGCCCCCACCGCCAGAAAGCCACAGGGGCACGAGGCACAGAGACCAACCCCCAUGAGACGGUCCCCUCAGCACCCCCAACACCGGAGCCCCACCAGGAGCAGCGUCCACAAUGCCAACAUAAAGAUAUGUUCAAUUUCUUCCUUGAUUCCCAAUUGAUGAGAAUGGUUUCCUUGGCGAUGCUUAAAGCGGUGAUGAGAAGCUGUGUUUGGUUUGUUUCUACAUGGAUUGUGGAGAGAUCACCCAGCAGGCAUAAUAAAGGAGAAGUAGGAAUGAAGAUCCCAAGUGCCAAAGAUAGGUCCUGACACACUCCGUGCCAGAAAUUAUUAAUGGGAGCACAGGCCCACAUGGAGCGUCAGCAGAUUUCUAUGUCUCCACUUCUUACACAUCUCUGGACCCAGUUCAACGUACAGCGGUGUUCAAUUUCCAGUUGAAUGCGAUUUCAUGAGCAGGAAGUUGAACAAGACUGCGAGAAAUGCCCGCCCCCAACAGCUUUUGCUCAAACAGUGAAAAUGUGGCUCUGUUUCGCGCCAGACCGAAAUGGAGGAUUUGGGCGUAGCGGUGAAUGAACAGAAAUCAAACCUGUUUGAUUUCUGUUUUAAAAGUGUGUGUCUGUUGUUA
This is a long non-coding RNA of Dunckerocampus dactyliophorus (ringed pipefish), 1118 nucleotides long. RefSeq lists it as uncharacterized. NCBI's taxonomy places the organism in Eukaryota, Metazoa, Chordata, Actinopteri, Syngnathiformes, Syngnathidae. The record is from RefSeq and is a predicted model, not a curated record. The transcript is spliced from 3 exons.